GACGUAGGGCGCGAGCGUUGUCCGGAUUUAUUGGGCGUAAAGAGCUCGUAGGCGGUUUGGAUAGUCGGGUGUGAAAACUCCGAGCUUAACUCGGAGACGCCACCCGAUACUGCCAUGACUAGAGUCCGGAAGAGGCAAGUGGAAUUCCCGGUGUAGCGGUGAAAUGCGCAGAUAUCGGGAGGAACACCGGUGGCGAAGGCGGUUCUCUGGGCAUUACCUGACGCUGAGGAGCGAAAGUGUGGGGAGCGAACAGG
This 254-nucleotide ribosomal RNA is filed under the name uncultured bacterium. Its description in RNAcentral is "partial 16S ribosomal RNA". It matches the Rfam family "Bacterial small subunit ribosomal RNA", at positions 524 to 776 of the family's 1533-position model. The record is from RNAcentral.